Molecule: ribosomal RNA, 492 nt
Filed under: uncultured bacterium
Lineage: Bacteria
Description: partial 16S ribosomal RNA
Rfam family: Bacterial small subunit ribosomal RNA
Source: RNAcentral
AGUGAACGCUGGCGGUAGGCCUAACACAUGCAAGUCGAACGGCAGCACAGUAAGAGCUUGCUCUUACGGGUGGCGAGUGGCGGACGGGUGAGGAAUACAUCGAAAUCUACUUUUUCGUGGGGGAUAACGUAGGGAAACUUACGCUAAUACCGCAUACGACCUACGGGUGAAAGCAGGGGAUCUUCGGACCUUUCGCGAUUGAAUGAGCCGAUGUCGGAUUAGCUAGUUGGCGGGGUAAAGGCCCACCAAGGCGACGGUCCGUAGCUGGUCUGAGAGGAUGAUCAGCCACACUGGAACUGGGACACGGUCCAGACUCCUACGGGAGGCAGCAGUGGGGAAUAUUGGACAAUGGGCGCAAGCCUGCUCCAGCCAGACCGCGUGGGUGAAGAAGGCCUUCGGGUGUUAAAGCCUUUUUGUUGGGAAAGAAAGGCAGCAGGUUAAUACCCCGCUGUUCUGACGGUACCCAAAGAAUAAGCACCGGCUAACUUCGUG